CACCGCGAAGUUAGUGAGCAUCGAGCUCUCGUGGUAGACGCAUGACGUUGCGCCAACUUUGCGAAAAAUCUCUCGGACCACGUGCGUCACCUGUCGUGCAUAGGUGAAAAUAUUAGUGCAACAUAGGAUCGUCAACAACAGCUCAUAUAUUUAAUUUGUUUACAAUAUAUCUGCAGUGGUGAAAAGGUUGCCGUAUCGAAAGUGGAGAUUCGUUUGAUUCAGAUUUUCUCUACCAUGCUGGUAACUGCAACAGACUGCAUAACAAAGCGAUUAUGAGUGAAGUUUGUUAGAAAAGUUAACUACCUAAAAAUAACAACAAUAAUGAAUAACAAAACGAAAUGCUGUGUUUUCAAUUAACACGAUCUAAACAGUCCCGCACUAGUCUGCUAUAUUUGUACUGUUUUCACAAUGGAGGAAGAAUCCUGUACCUGCAGGUUGCAACAUGAUCAUCCUCGCGAGAGAAUAGUCUCCGCGACGAGGAUCCAAGUAACGAGUUGAGUUGAGCUGAAGCGAGGAGGCGACGAGAUAAACGAAACUUUCAUACAGGAUUAUAAGUUUCCGCUAAUAAUCUAAAACUGAUCUAAAAAGGCUGACCAAGUGCAUUUCUGUGCAUUCCAAAGAUUCUAAUUUAAAACUAAAAACAGUUAAAAAGAAAAUAA
Diprion similis is the source of this 659-nucleotide long non-coding RNA. RefSeq lists it as uncharacterized. The transcript is spliced from 3 exons. Lineage: Eukaryota; Metazoa; Arthropoda; Insecta; Hymenoptera; Diprionidae. The record is from RefSeq and is a predicted model, not a curated record.